AACGCACCUUGCGCCCCUUGGUAUUCCGAGGGGCACACCCGUUUGAGUGUCGUGAAAACCUCAACCUCCUUGGUUUCUUCUGGAGACCAAAGAAGGCUUGGACUUUGGAGGCCUUUGCUGGCACCUCUCUUUUGAAGGCCAGCUCCUCUUAAACAAAUUAGCAGGGUCCUCUUUGCUGAUCCUUGACAUGUGAUAAGAUGUUUCCAUGUCUUGGUUUCUGGCUCUGUCACCUUUGGGACCCGCUUCUAACCGUCUUGACCUUGCAUCGAGACAACGUUCGAGCAUGUCUCCCUUUCUCGGGAAGCUCCCUCGACCCCACGAACCCCUUGACCUCAAAUCGGGUGAGACUACCCGCUGAACUUAA
Molecule: unclassified non-coding RNA, 364 nt
Filed under: uncultured Lactarius
Lineage: Eukaryota; Fungi; Basidiomycota; Agaricomycetes; Russulales; Russulaceae
Description: sequence contains ITS2
Source: RNAcentral